GUCAGACUUCCCACACCACACUGUGUUCCUCAUGCAUGGAUGUGACAGUCCUUGUUUGUGCUUCCCAGCGAGCUGUGCUGGAUCUCACCUGUCCUUCGAGACCACCUCAGGGAUCAUCUGGUUAAACUGGCGAGUACUGCCCUUCCCACAGGCAAGAGGUGCGUGUACAGCAGUGACAGUGAAGCAGUAACCCAGUGCUUACCAGCAGCAGGAGGACUGUGCACACUGACAGGAAAGAUCCUGGUGUGGGAUGUGAGGGUUGCACAGACCAGUGACCUGACACCAUGAGACAGAGGCAGUUUGCAGAGGAGGCCUGUGCAUCUCCAGGAUGAGCCAGCAGAACAGCAUAAACAAGGUACAGACACACAGGACCUGCUCUAAAACCCACAGAGGUGCUGUCUCCUCUCGCUGUCUUUGAGAGGAUUUCACUCAGGUCCGCCAGGCAAAAGGCAUCAGAGCUCAUUUCCCCUUUCCCAUCAGCCCUUCCACAUUUCCUUCGCCUCAAGCUUCUGUGGGGUGAGCCAGUAAAUGCUGAGGGAGCAGGAGCAGAGCAUUCACGUUCUGCAGAGCUGCUGUUCCCAUAACUCCAUCCUUUAGCACCAACGCUGCCUCAGUGGCUCUGAACUCGCCAGGAGGCUGGCACAGAACCAGCAGCCAAGCCCAGCAUCAGACACACCACAGAAUGCACGACUAAAGGGGUUUUCUUGCUCUAAAACCUUCUGGCAGAGUGAGAUGGGUGGUGGUGGUGGUGGACAUUGUCCUUCAGUGCAUUGCAAACUACGGACUGCACAGCAAACACAACUUUCCUCCGCUCCCUCCCACCCACAUUUUACCACCUAAGCUCUGAUGGAGGUGCUUGCAGGAUGUGUCAGCCCUGUGCUCAUGGAUUGCCUGUAUUUCCCCUUUAAAAUAUUAUUUUCAUUUUCCAGGUGCUGCUGGCUGCCUGCCUGUGUACAGUACAUCCAAGUUUGUUUUUCCAGCAGCCACCACUGCUGUGGGAGCUCUCUCAGAGGCUGAGAUUCCCAAAUGCAGGAAGAGUGAACACAUAAGCUCAGGCAAUAUUUAUAGGAGUUUCAGCUAGAAACGGGAGUGCCAAACGUAACUAUUUUGUUUUCAUGUUUUACUUUUGUAUUGCUCAGUCAAAACAAGUUAAUUUUAAAUGGAAUGUUUAGAUUUUGGAGAAAAAAAACAAACAAACAAACCAAAAAACAGAGUAGCUCUUUGUGAGGAGUUAUUUUUAGUUUCACCAACCCAAAACAACUGACAGAGGAGAGUUCUGAUUUCUGCUGUCUAUAAACCCUUUAGGUUUAGACCUUGCAGUGUUAUUUAUUACCAAAUAAACUUUUGUAUUGCUUUUUAAACCUCUCUAGUCAAGGAUUUACUCCUGGAUGAGCACUCACAAUCACCCCAUAAUACAGCACAGCAGAAGCCAGUGCAGACAGAACCACGUUGCUGAAGCAUGAAAUCCCACCCAGCAGCACGGAAAAGGCUCCUGCUAGGCAGAAGUCCCACUGGAUUUUGGAAUGGAGACUGCUCCUGAAUUGCCAUUCUGUGAGAGAGA
Long non-coding RNA from Myiozetetes cayanensis, 1561 nucleotides. RefSeq lists it as uncharacterized. NCBI's taxonomy places the organism in Eukaryota, Metazoa, Chordata, Aves, Passeriformes, Tyrannidae. The record is from RefSeq and is a predicted model, not a curated record. The transcript has 3 exons.